UGCAAGUCGAACGAACUCUUCGGAGUUAGUGGCGGACGGGUGAGUAACACGUGGGAACGUGCCUUUAGGUUCGGAAUAACUCAGGGAAACUUGUGCUAAUACCGAAUGUGCCCUUCGGGGGAAAGAUUUAUCGCCUUUAGAGCGGCCCGCGUCUGAUUAGCUAGUUGGUGAGGUAAAGGCUCACCAAGGCGACGAUCAGUAGCUGGUCUGAGAGGAUGAUCAGCCACAUUGGGACUGAGACACGGCCCAAACUCCUACGGGAGGCAGCAGUGGGGAAUCUUGCGCAAUGGGCGAAAGCCUGACGCAGCCAUGCCGCGUGAAUGAUGAAGGUCUUAGGAUUGUAAAAUUCUUUCACCGGGGACGAUAAUGACGGUACCCGGAGAAGAAGCCCCGGCUAACUUCGUGCCAGCAGCCGCGGUAAUACGAAGGGGGCUAGCGUUGCUCGGAAUUACUGGGCGUAAAGGGAGCGUAGGCGGACAUUUAAGUCAGGGGUGAAAUCCCGGGGCUCAACCUCGGAAUUGCCUUUGAUACUGGGUGUCUUGAGUAUGAGAGAGGUGUGUGGAACUCCGAGUGUACAG
RNAcentral lists this ribosomal RNA (578 nucleotides) under Brevundimonas sp. LB7-8. RNAcentral's name for it is "bacterial SSU rRNA". It matches the Rfam family "Bacterial small subunit ribosomal RNA", at positions 56 to 680 of the family's 1533-position model. Lineage: Bacteria; Pseudomonadati; Pseudomonadota; Alphaproteobacteria; Caulobacterales; Caulobacteraceae. The record is from RNAcentral.